This 301-nucleotide ribosomal RNA is filed under the name uncultured bacterium. Its description in RNAcentral is "partial 16S ribosomal RNA". It matches the Rfam family "Bacterial small subunit ribosomal RNA", at positions 509 to 807 of the family's 1533-position model. The record is from RNAcentral.
CAGUCGCCACGGGAAAACGAAGGGUGCAAGCGUUAAUCGGAAUUACUGGGCGUAAAGCGCGCGUAGGCGGUUACUCAAGUCAGAGGUGAAAGCCCGGGGCUCAACCCCGGAACUGCCUUUGAAACUAGGUGACUAGAAUCUUGGAGAGGUCAGUGGAAUUCCGAGUGUAGAGGUGAAAUUCGUAGAUAUUCGGAAGAACACCAGUGGCGAAGGCGGCUCACUGGACGACUGUUGACGCUGAGGUGCGAAAGCGUGGGGAGCAAACAGGAUUAGAUACCCCUGUAGUCCCUGUCUCUUAUAC